RNAcentral lists this ribosomal RNA (385 nucleotides) under uncultured bacterium. RNAcentral describes it as "bacterial SSU rRNA". It matches the Rfam family "Bacterial small subunit ribosomal RNA", at positions 1008 to 1392 of the family's 1533-position model. The record is from RNAcentral.
GGUACGUUCCCUUCGGGGACGCAGUGACAGGUGCUGCAUGGCUGUCGUCAGCUCGUGUUGUGAAAUGUUGGGUUAAGUCCCGUAACGAGCGCAACCCUUAUCCUUAGUUGCUAGCAGGUAAUGCUGAGAACUCUAAGGAGACUGCCGGUGAUAAACCGGAGGAAGGUGGGGACGACGUCAAGUCAUCAUGGCCCUUACGUGUAGGGCUACACACGUGCUACAAUGGCGUAUACAGAGGGCUGCAAGCUAGCGAUAGUGAGCGAAUCCCACAAAGUACGUCGUAGUCCGGAUUGGAGUCUGCAACUCGACUCCAUGAAGUUGGAAUCGCUAGUAAUCGUAGGUCAGCAUACUACGGUGAAUACGUUCCCGGGUCUUGUACACACCG